Molecule: ribosomal RNA, 492 nt
Filed under: uncultured bacterium
Lineage: Bacteria
Description: partial 16S ribosomal RNA
Rfam family: Bacterial small subunit ribosomal RNA
Source: RNAcentral
AGUGAACGCUGGCGGUAGGCCUAACACAUGCAAGUCGAACGGCAGCACAGUAAGAGCUUGCUCUUACGGGUGGCGAGUGGCGGACGGGUGAGGAAUACAUCGGAAUCUACUUUUUCGUGGGGGAUAACGUAGGGAAACUUACGCUAAUACCGCAUACGACCUACGGGUGAAAGCAGGGGAUCUUCGGACCUUGCGCGAUUGAAUGAGCCGAUGUCGGAUUAGCUAGUUGGCGGUGUAAAGGCCCACCAAGGCGACGAUCCGUAGCUGGUCUGAGAGGAUGAUCAGCCACACUGGAACUGAGACACGGUCCAGACUCCUACGGGAGGCAGCAGUGGGGAAUAUUGGACAAAGGGCGCAAGCCUGAUCCAGCCAUACCGCGUGGGUGAAGAAGGCCUUCGGGUUGUAAAGCCCUUUUGUUGGGAAAGAAAAGCAGCAGGUUAAUACCCCGCUGUUCUGACGGUACCCAAAGAAUAAGCACCGGCUAACUUCGUG